Molecule: small nuclear RNA, 135 nt
Organism: Microcebus murinus (gray mouse lemur)
Lineage: Eukaryota; Metazoa; Chordata; Mammalia; Primates; Cheirogaleidae
Source: Ensembl
ACCAUCCUUUUCUUGGGGUGGGGCCACUGUCCAAUGAGCACCAAAUGAGGGCAGUACUGCUAACGCCUACACAACAUACACAACACACCUGCAUCAACUAGAGCUUUGCUUUAAUUCAGUGCAAUUUUUGGAAAA